RNAcentral lists this ribosomal RNA (253 nucleotides) under uncultured bacterium. Its description in RNAcentral is "partial 16S ribosomal RNA". It matches the Rfam family "Bacterial small subunit ribosomal RNA", at positions 524 to 776 of the family's 1533-position model. The record is from RNAcentral.
UACGUAGGGUGCGAGCGUUAAUCGGAAUUACUGGGCGUAAAGUGUGCGCAGGCGGCCGCGCAAGUCGAGUGUGAAAGCCCCGAGCUUAACUUGGGAAUUGCGCUCGAAACUACGUGGCUGGAGUGUGGCAGAGGAAGGUGGAAUUCCAGGUGUAGCGGUGAAAUGCGUAGAGAUCUGGAGGAACACCGAUGGCGAAGGCAGCCUUCUGGGCCAACACUGACGCUCAUGCACGAAAGCGUGGGGAGCAAAAGGG